AAUUCAAAUUAAUUUCCAAUAUAAUUAAUUAACUCAAUAAUUUAGAAGAAUAAAAAUGGCGAAAUAUUUGAUUUUUGUUUUGGCAAUCAUCUCCAUUUGGAUGGUGACUGUUAUAUAUGGUGGUCCCACGUGUAAGCCAUUCCUAUUUAAGUGUUUUGAACAUAUGUUUUGAGAGUGAUGAAUGCAGGUUACGUUGUGGUAGUGAAGGCGAAUGCGAAUGAUAACUGCCAGAAUAAAUUUAGCGUCCCAGAUAUGAUAUGAGCC
This is a long non-coding RNA of Contarinia nasturtii (swede midge), 264 nucleotides long. RefSeq lists it as uncharacterized. The record is from RefSeq and is a predicted model, not a curated record. Lineage: Eukaryota; Metazoa; Arthropoda; Insecta; Diptera; Cecidomyiidae. The transcript is spliced from 3 exons.